Molecule: ribosomal RNA, 470 nt
Filed under: Veillonella parvula
Lineage: Bacteria; Bacillati; Bacillota; Negativicutes; Veillonellales; Veillonellaceae
Description: bacterial SSU rRNA
Rfam family: Bacterial small subunit ribosomal RNA
Source: RNAcentral
GACGAACGCUGGCGGCGUGCUUAACACAUGCAAGUCGAACGAAGAGCGAUGGAAGCUUGCUUCUAUCAAUCUUAGUGGCGAACGGGUGAGUAACGCGUAAUCAACCUGCCCUUCAGAGGGGGACAACAGUUGGAAACGACUGCUAAUACCGCAUACGAUCUAAUCUCGGCAUCGAGGAUAGAUGAAAGGUGGCCUCUACAUGUAAGCUAUCACUGAAGGAGGGGAUUGCGUCUGAUUAGCUAGUUGGAGGGGUAACGGCCCACCAAGGCGAUGAUCAGUAGCCGGUCUGAGAGGAUGAACGGCCACAUUGGGACUGAGACACGGCCCAGACUCCUACGGGAGGCAGCAGUGGGGAAUCUUCCGCAAUGGACGAAAGUCUGACGGAGCAACGCCGCGUGAGUGAUGACGGCCUUCGGGUUGUAAAGCUCUGUAAUCGGGACGAAAGGCCCUUCCUGCGAAUAGUUAGAAGG